RNAcentral lists this ribosomal RNA (305 nucleotides) under uncultured bacterium. RNAcentral's name for it is "partial 16S ribosomal RNA". It matches the Rfam family "Bacterial small subunit ribosomal RNA", at positions 335 to 643 of the family's 1533-position model. The record is from RNAcentral.
UGCCUACGGGGGGCAGCAGUGGGGAAUAUUGCACAAUGGGGGAAACCCUGAUGCAGCGACGCCGCGUGAGUGAAGAAGUAUCUGGGUACGUAAAGCUCUAUCAGCAGGGAAGAAAAAAAGUCUUUGGCUUUGGACGGUACCUGACUAAGAAGCCCCGGCUAACUACGUGCCAGCAGCCGCGGUAAUACGUAGGGGGCAAGCGUUAUCCGGAUUUACUGGGUGUAAAGGGAGCGUAGACGGUGUGGCAAGUCUGAAGUGAAAGCCCGGGGCUCAACCCCGGGACUGCUUUGGAAACUGUCAUGCUG